UAGGGCUUUGAUGGUGAAAUGUGGGGCCAACUAAUCUUUUUUUAUCAUGGAUUUUGAUUCUGUGGUUAUCAGUAAAUAGACAAACUAGAAUUUUGAUAAUUUUAAUUCCGUCUCCAAAGGAUAUCUGUUCCCGCUUCUGAUCGCUCCUAUAAUAGAAUGUAGCAAUGCUAAAAAUGAGGAUAUCCUUUGAAUGGGGUCACGUUUUGAGCUUGUUCUUCAUCUAUCUACUCUCCACAAAUUGCAAGCAUAGAAGG
RNAcentral lists this unclassified non-coding RNA (254 nucleotides) under Hevea brasiliensis (rubber tree). The record is from RNAcentral. Lineage: Eukaryota; Viridiplantae; Streptophyta; Magnoliopsida; Malpighiales; Euphorbiaceae.